AGAGAACUAAUGAUUCAACAAUAGUUCGCGGAAGCGGUUUACGGUUUAACUUCAAGAUAGAAAUUUCAAGUUUUAAAAAUAUUUCAGUGCAAAGUCUGCUGCAAAUGCAACAGUUCGCGACCCAUUGUGGUGCACCCAUAGAGUAUGAGAUGGGCGGCGGCGGACAAUCCAUCUACUCCCUGUCGGAAAGAGCAUUUGGUCUUGAAGAUUAUCACUGAGAGAAAUUCACGAUGAUUGGCAGUAAGGUGGUA
This is a long non-coding RNA of Dendroctonus ponderosae (mountain pine beetle), 251 nucleotides long. RefSeq lists it as uncharacterized. The transcript is spliced from 4 exons. Lineage: Eukaryota; Metazoa; Arthropoda; Insecta; Coleoptera; Curculionidae. The record is from RefSeq and is a predicted model, not a curated record.